This 431-nucleotide ribosomal RNA is filed under the name uncultured bacterium. RNAcentral's name for it is "partial 16S ribosomal RNA". It matches the Rfam family "Bacterial small subunit ribosomal RNA", at positions 338 to 795 of the family's 1533-position model. The record is from RNAcentral.
CCUACGGGGGGCAGCAGUGGGGAAUAUUGCACAAUGGGCGCAAGCCUGAUGCAGCAACGCCGCGUGAGGGAUGACGGCCUUCGGGUUGAAACCUCUUUUAGUAGGGAAGCGGUACCUGCAGAAAAAGCACCGGCUAACUACGUGCCAGCAGCCGCGGUAAUACGUAGGGUGCAAGCGUUGUCCGGAAUUAUUGGGCGUAAAGAGCUCGUAGGCGGCUUGUCGCGUCUGCUGUGAAAACCAGAGGCUCAACCUCUGGCCUGCAGUGGGUACGGGCAAGCUAGAGUGCGGUAGGGGAGAUUGGAAUUCCUGGUGUAGCGGUGGAAUGCGCAGAUAUCAGGAGGAACACCGAUGGCGAAGGCAGAUCUCUGGGCCGUACUGACGCUGAGGAGCGAAAGCAUGGGGAGCGAACAGGAUUAGAUACCCUUGUAGUC